RNAcentral lists this transfer RNA (76 nucleotides) under Ochrobactrum sp. LMG 5442. Its description in RNAcentral is "tRNA-Thr". It matches the Rfam family "tRNA". From Rfam's summary of the family: Transfer RNA (tRNA) molecules are approximately 80 nucleotides in length. Their secondary structure includes four short double-helical elements and three loops (D, anti-codon, and T loops). Lineage: Bacteria; Pseudomonadati; Pseudomonadota; Alphaproteobacteria; Hyphomicrobiales; Brucellaceae. The record is from RNAcentral.
GCCCGUGUAGCUCAGAUGGUAGAGCAGCCCACUUGUAAUGGGAUGGUCCGGGGUUCGAUUCCUCGCUGGGGCACCA